Molecule: ribosomal RNA, 114 nt
Filed under: Cavia porcellus (domestic guinea pig)
Lineage: Eukaryota; Metazoa; Chordata; Mammalia; Rodentia; Caviidae
Source: RNAcentral
UUCUGUGGCCAUGCCAUUCUGAUGUGCCUGAUCUUGUCUGAUCUCAGAAGGAAGCAGGGCUGGGGAUGGUUAGUACUUGGGUGUAAAAACAUGAGCAGGGAAAAGUCAUGGUGA